CACCGGCGGCUCGAGUGGUGGCCCCUUUUAUUGGGUCUAAAGCGUCCGUAGCCGGCUUGGCAAGUCCCCUGGGAAAUCUGGCGGCUUAACCGUCAGGCGUCCAGAGGAUACUGCCAGGCUUGGGACCGGGAGAGGACAAGGGUACUCCAGGGGUAGCGGUGAAAUGUGUUGAUCCUUGGAGGACCACCUAUGGCGAAGGCACUUGUCUGGAACGGGUCCGACGGUGAGGGACGAAAGCCAGGGGCGCGAACCGG
RNAcentral lists this ribosomal RNA (254 nucleotides) under uncultured microorganism. RNAcentral describes it as "partial 16S ribosomal RNA". It matches the Rfam family "Archaeal small subunit ribosomal RNA", at positions 474 to 727 of the family's 1478-position model. The record is from RNAcentral.